UAUGGUGAGCCGCUUUGUCGGCUUGAAAAGGGAAUCAGGUGAAAUGCCUGGACUGUGCCCGCAGCUGUAAGUUCCAAAGAUGUGUCACAUUCUGUGCCAUUGUCCGUUCGGAUGAGAAGGCGUGACUCCGGAACAAGUCAGAAGACCUGCCAUAGGUAA
RNAcentral lists this non-coding RNA (159 nucleotides) under human gut metagenome. The record is from RNAcentral.